RNAcentral lists this ribosomal RNA (140 nucleotides) under uncultured bacterium. Its description in RNAcentral is "partial 16S ribosomal RNA". It matches the Rfam family "Bacterial small subunit ribosomal RNA", at positions 353 to 509 of the family's 1533-position model. The record is from RNAcentral.
UGGGGGGAGUAUUGCACAAUGGGGGGGAACCCGUGAUGCAGCGACGCCGCGUGGGUGAAGAAGCGCCUCGGCGCGUAAAGCCCUGUCAGCAGGGAAGAAAAUGACGGUACCUGAGAAGAAGCCCCGGCUAACUACGUGCC